Molecule: ribosomal RNA, 142 nt
Filed under: Malus domestica (apple)
Lineage: Eukaryota; Viridiplantae; Streptophyta; Magnoliopsida; Rosales; Rosaceae
Description: rRNA MD02G0047600
Rfam family: Bacterial large subunit ribosomal RNA
Source: RNAcentral
UGCCCAGUGCUAGAAGAUCAAGAAAGAUGGUGACUUUAUGACAGUGGAGCCGGCGAACGAAAUCCCGGUAAACGGCGGUCAUAACUAUAAUGAUCCUACGGUAGUGAAAUUUCUUGUCCGAUAAGUUUCGACCCACACAAAA